Molecule: ribosomal RNA, 425 nt
Filed under: uncultured bacterium
Lineage: Bacteria
Description: partial 16S ribosomal RNA
Rfam family: Bacterial small subunit ribosomal RNA
Source: RNAcentral
GUUAGGAAUAUUGGACAAUGGGCGCAAGCCUGAUCCAGCCAUGCCGCGUGAACGAUGAAGGCCUUCGGGUUGUAAAGUUCUUUAGCCGAUGAUUAUAAUGACUGUAGUCGGAAAAUAAGCCCCGGCUAACUUCGUGCCAGCAGCCGCGGUAAUACGAAGGGGGCGAGCGUUAUUCGGAAUCACUGGGCGUAAAGCGUGCGUAGGCGGUCUCGUAAGUUAGGAGUGAAAACCCAGGGCUCAACCUUGGAAUUGCUCUUAAUACUGCAAGGCUAGAAUCUCGGAGAGGAUAGCGGAAUUUCCAGUGUAGCAGUGAAAUGCGUAGAUAUUGGAAGGAACACCAGUGGCGUAAGCGGCUAUCUGGACGAGUAUUGACGCUGAGGCACGAAAGCGUGGGGAUCAAACAGGAUUAGAAACCCGUGUAGUCC